Long non-coding RNA from Balaenoptera musculus (blue whale), 3333 nucleotides. RefSeq lists it as uncharacterized. The record is from RefSeq and is a predicted model, not a curated record. The transcript is spliced from 5 exons. NCBI's taxonomy places the organism in Eukaryota, Metazoa, Chordata, Mammalia, Artiodactyla, Balaenopteridae.
CCCAUUUAGAGCUGGGGCCUGAGGCUACGAGGUGGCGCAGGCGGUCAGUGGCCACGCCCUGACUUUAAAGCCGAGGCCCGUAGACCGCGUCUACAAGCACAGAAAGCAAGCGGCAGGCCCCGGCUGACCCCGGACACCAGACCCAGCUGCAUCCGCGUACGCAGAGCACUGGAGUGGCCGUGUCUGUCUGUCCGGGUACCGCAGCUCCGCGGGACAGAUGCCCGGCCGCUGGUGAGUGAGGCCGCGGUGUCGUCAGCGGGCAGGUACGGGGUCCACCGGGAAGGGCAGCUUAGGAAGUUAGGAAGUGGGAGCAGCAACCUGGCUCUGGCACCUGGAAGGCCGGGGCUGCGGGCGACUCUCCCGGUGCAGAGCUGGGGUCUCCGGGUUGGGUGAGAGGCUGGGCGCCCUGCGGGGGUCAGGCAGCCUUGUCUGCAGCACCGGUGUCUGCGUCAGGGCUGGUCAGGUGAUGGGAUGAUGGGCUGGAGUGGCUGUUACGUACUUCAGAGUGUUUAAAGCAGCAGAGCAGGGGACCUGUCUCCUCUCCCUCCUGCACCGGCAGCGUGCACACAUCCUGGUUCCCCCAGGCCAGGGGUGCGGCCGGGGGCUGGGGCGGGGCAGCUGCCCUCGGAUCGGAGCACUGCGGGGGCGGCUCCAGCAGGCGCCCUCAGGGCCCUCCCUCCUCAGGUCCUGGGCUCACCGUGAUCUGUCCCUUCGGGACGGAGUUCCCCGCGUGGCCGGCUGGAGCCCCGCGCUGGGGGCAGCGGCCACAGGAGGAGGGGACUGGAUGCCAGGUGAGUCAGUGCCCCCGAAGGUCAGACUCAUUUCUAGUUGUGAGAGUGAGGUUGACACCCAAAAUAAACCCCCGAGUGAUGCCCACCCUUUCAUGGAUGCAUGUGGAUGUUUUCAGUUUACCUGUAUCUUUACUAAAUUUCUGCUCUAAUGGGAGAGUUUAUUAAUUUAAUGUUUCUCUUUUUAAAUAAAUCUUCCCCUUUUUCAGUAACUAGACUAUACGGUGUACACGUUGUCUUGCCAGGUCAUGUUUAGUGAAGUGAAAAACUCAGAAAUCUGUUUUCUUCCUCUGAUGGCUGGGAACGCAGAGUGCUCUGGAGCGGAGCCCGCCCGUCCGGGGCCUGCAGCCCUCCCCGCAGCCCGGCCGAGCCCAGCUACGCAGAGCAAGGAAGCUGCACCGUGACACCCCGUCCCACACGACGGGAAGGGCCGCGGGAGCCGCUUUGACUUUCUGCCCGGGGGGCCCACGGUGAGGACUCACUCCUCUCUCACUGUGUGUGUGUGUGUGUAUUUCCCUCUUACUGUCGUGCGGUUUCAGUGUCAGGUGCCGGCCUGUGCAGGCCUGGGUGUCACGCUCUGUGCGUCUGUGUACCCUCCCCCCGCCCCCCCAAUUCACGUGCUGGCAUCCUGACCCCCAGCGCGACGGUGUCAGGAGGUGGCACGAGGGGCAGGUGACUAGGUCGUGAGGGUGUGGUCCCCUGAUGGGAUCAGUGCCCGGACAGGAUGCGGAAGGAGAGGUCCCCCCCCUUCCCCCUCCCAGGUGAGGCUGCGCCGAAUCUGCCUCCACUGUGACCCUGCUCCCAGCCUGCAGGUCUGCGGUGACCUGCUGAAUGAAGCAGCCGGGGCUGAGUCACUGGGUCCCCGUGACCUCAGCCUUUUCUCCCUGCGGCCCCCAACCCCCCAAGUCAGAAGUUUCCCAAAAUUAACCCAGCGUUAAAAUCCUCGGUUAUUAAAGAAAGGUGUUAAAGGUCAAGUCUUCUAAUCUGGAAGUGCCCUGUUGACAUUUUAUGUAGAAAAUUUUUACUUUGUAACCUUCAUAAUAUUUACUUGUUGUACUUCAAACAAAACCACAGUUGGAAGGGGACACAUUUCAGCCAGUUUCUUUGGUUUGUAUCGAGAUCACCCUCAGCUCUUUUCCAAGAAAUAUGGAGCCUAUUUGGUCCACCCCAAAGACUUUAUUUCUGCACACGACAGACCAAGAGCCAGGAACGUUGGCGCCAUCACAGAUUUUGUGCAGAAAGCCAAGCUUCAGAAAGUUCAAGGCCAGCCACGCCAGGACUCUCAUUUUCCAUCUUCCAGUAAUUGCUUGAUUGUCUCAAGAUGAAACAUGUAUUCACUUAAAAAAAAAAAAACUCAGAAAAACACCGCAUUCACUGAAAAUGAUGGUUUACACUUUAAUUUGGAGCCAGUUACCCAACCGUGGGUUAACCUUCGUCAGUUCGUCCUUUGCCGGCUGGGUGUUCAGCCCCCUCGCCCCUCAGCGCCCCCAGGUUCCCCCGCCCUUGUCACGGGGACAGGCCUGAGGCCCGGGAAGCAGGUGUCCCCGGGGGCAUCUCUGCGCUGCUGCUCAGCCCGGCCGCCCCGGAUCGCCUGUCAGAUGAACAGCCCGUGACAGUUAGCCCUCAUGAGAGGAUGUUUCCAGUCUGAAGCCGCUGACCUUUUUCAAAAUCAUCUUCGUUGACGGAGGGGAGACAGUGGCGGCGCGGGACUCAGCACCCUUCUCAGAAGCCGAGACCCCAGAAGUGUGCUCUUCGUUCCAUUUUAUGUUUAUCUUCCAACUUUUUAUUUUGAACUAAUUUCAAACUUAGAAAAAGGUUGGGAAAAUAGUAAAUACAGACAAACAAAACCCCAUACACCCCUUACCUGGGUUUACCGAUUCUUACCAUUUUGCCACACGUGUUUCACCCGUCUUCCCCCUGUCCCGUUACCCCUCGAUGCUGCGUGCGUGAGCCUAAGAGGGAGGACGUUCUCCUAAGUAACCUCAGUUGGUAUCAGCCAGAGAAACGGCACAGCCUGCACUUUGGUCUGACGUGCAGCCAGGUUCUUAGCUGGAUGACCGCCCCCCGUCCAUCGUCCCUGUCCUCGUUCUCCUGGCCUGGACGCAGCCCGGGACCCCUGCGGCCUUCGGGUGUCACGUCCCUCGGCCUUAGUCUUUGACAGCCUGGGUAUGUCGGAGGAAUAGCAGCCAGCUGUGCGGCGGAAGCCCCCGCAGGGUGGGCGGGGCGGGAGCUCUGUCGGGACUGGACUCAGGGACACGUCUUUGGCUGGAGAACCAGGAUGCCCUUGCGCUGUGUUUCCCUGUGCUGGAUUCACCCGUCUCUCCGAGGGCCUGGUUCUUCCGUGAGGAAUGGUGUCUGGAAAUCGGGAGAUGGCCGUCCAGCUGCCCCAACACCACGUGAUAAAAAGUCCGUCUUCUAUACUGAUUUGAGAUGCCACUCCUCUUGUGCUGGAUUUUCCUGGGCGCGUGGCUCCGUCUCUAGUCUUGGCGUCCUCUCCCGUUGGUCAUCGUUGGUCAGUCCAGCAGUUUUUCCAUCAUAGAGACGC